UACGUAGGGGGCAAGCGUUGUCCGGAUUUAUUGGGCGUAAAGGGCGCGUAGGCGGCUACGCACGUCCGUUGUGAAAUCGCUCGGCUCAACUGGGCGGGGUCAGCGGAUACGGCGUAGCUGGAGCAAGCUAGGGGGCAAUGGAAUUCCCGGUGUAGUGGUGGAAUGCGUAGAUAUCGGGAGGAACACCAGUGGCGAAGGCGGUUGCCUGGAGCUUUGCUGACGCUGAUGCGCGAAAGCGUGGGGAGCGAUCCGG
Molecule: ribosomal RNA, 253 nt
Filed under: uncultured bacterium
Lineage: Bacteria
Description: partial 16S ribosomal RNA
Rfam family: Bacterial small subunit ribosomal RNA
Source: RNAcentral